AACUAUAUAGUCUAUAGGAAUAGGAUUUUAAGAUGCAAGCUUAAAGGAAAUUUAAAUUGGUUUAUAGUUU
This 70-nucleotide transfer RNA is filed under the name Cylas formicarius (sweet potato weevil). Its description in RNAcentral is "tRNA-Cys". The record is from RNAcentral. Lineage: Eukaryota; Metazoa; Arthropoda; Insecta; Coleoptera; Brentidae.